RNAcentral lists this ribosomal RNA (520 nucleotides) under uncultured bacterium. RNAcentral's name for it is "partial 16S ribosomal RNA". It matches the Rfam family "Bacterial small subunit ribosomal RNA", at positions 28 to 523 of the family's 1533-position model. The record is from RNAcentral.
GACGAACGCUGGCGGCGUGCCUAAUACAUGCGAGUCGAACGCUUCUUACUAUCGAACUUCGGUUCACCAAGUAAGAGGAGUGGCGAACGGGUGAGUAACACGUGGGUAACCUGCCCAUCAGAGGGGGAUAACACUUGGAAACAGGUGCUAAUACCGCAUAAUUCAGUUUACCGCAUGGUAGAGUGAUGAAAGGCGCUUUUGCGUCACUGAUGUAUGGACCCGCGGUGCAUUAGCUAGUUGGUAAGGUAAUGGCCUACCAAGGCAACGAUGCAUAGCCGACCUGAGAGGGUGAUCGGCCACACUGGGACUGAGACACGGCCCAGACUCCUACGGGAGGCAGCAGUAGGGAAUCUUCGGCAAUGGACGAAAGUCUGACCGAGCAACGCCGCGUGAGUGAAGAAGGUUUUCGGAUCGUAAAACUCUGUUGUUAGAGAAGAACAAGGAUGAGAGUAAAAUGUUCAUCCCUUGACGGUAUCUAACCAGAAAGCCACGGCUAACUACGUGCCAGCAGCCGCCGUAA